GGAUGUAAGGGCGAUCUGGCUUCGACAUCUGUCACCCCAUUGAUCGCCAGGGUUGUCUGCUGAUCUGGCUGGCUAGGCAGGUGUCCCCUUCCCCCCUCACCGCUCCAUGUGCAUCGCUCCUGAAGCUGCACCAAGGACCGGUCUUCAGUCAAGAGUAGCUGCGCUCCCCUGCUAGAACCUCCAAACGAGCUCUCAAGAAUUUAAGUUCACUCUUGUAUAUGUGGACAUCCAGUUUUUCCAGUACUAUUUAUUUUGCAUUCUUUU
This 264-nucleotide small nuclear RNA is filed under the name Mesocricetus auratus (golden hamster). Its description in RNAcentral is "7SK RNA". It matches the Rfam family "7SK RNA". From Rfam's summary of the family: 7SK was discovered as an abundant small nuclear RNA in the mid-70s but a possible function has only recently been suggested. Two independent studies have found that 7SK RNA binds the CDK9/cyclin T complex (known as elongation factor P-TEFb). P-TEFb activates transcription by phosphorylating the C-terminal domain of RNA polymerase II. Lineage: Eukaryota; Metazoa; Chordata; Mammalia; Rodentia; Cricetidae. The record is from Rfam by way of RNAcentral.